UGGAGCGUGUGGUUUAAUUCGAUGCUACACGAAGAACCUUACCAGGGUUUGACAUGCAAGUGGUAGGAAUCUGAAAAGUGACCGACCCUUCGGGGAGCUUGCACAGGUGCUGCAUGGCUGUCGUCAGCUCGUGUCGUGAGAUGUUCGGUUAAGUCCGCUAACGAGCGCAACCCUCACUGUGUGUUAUACGUGUCACACGGGACUGCCGGUUUUAAGCCGGAGGAAGGCGGGGAUGACGUCAAGUCAGCAUGGCCUUUAUAUCUUGGGCA
RNAcentral lists this ribosomal RNA (269 nucleotides) under uncultured bacterium. Its description in RNAcentral is "partial 16S ribosomal RNA". It matches the Rfam family "Bacterial small subunit ribosomal RNA", at positions 933 to 1215 of the family's 1533-position model. The record is from RNAcentral.